GUCUACGGCGAUGCUACCCUGAACAAGCCCGAUCUUGUCUGAUCUCAGAAGCUAAGCAGGGUCGGGCCUGGUUAGUACUUGGAUGGGAGACCACCUAGGAAGACCAGGUACUGUAGGCG
This 119-nucleotide ribosomal RNA is filed under the name Pteropus alecto (black flying fox). The record is from RNAcentral. Lineage: Eukaryota; Metazoa; Chordata; Mammalia; Chiroptera; Pteropodidae.